Molecule: long non-coding RNA, 271 nt
Organism: Suricata suricatta (meerkat)
Lineage: Eukaryota; Metazoa; Chordata; Mammalia; Carnivora; Herpestidae
Exons: 2
Source: RefSeq, a predicted model, not a curated record
UGAUCUCCAAGAAUGCUCAUUCCAAGGGAAGCCAACAUCCAUCGCAUGAGGAUUCUCAAAAGCUGCAUGGAAAUAGUGAUGUGGAGGGGAACCAACUUACCAACCAUGUGGAACCUGUGGCAACCCCACUUCAACCAUGCAGAUGACCACAAGGCUUUGAGGAAUGAAGAAGCAACCCAGGAAUCUGGGUCACUGAGAAGCAGAGGUACCCACUAACCUGGAAUGCUGAUCUCGUACUGAUAUAUGAGAGAGAAAUAAAGGUCUGUCAUUA